Neofelis nebulosa (Clouded leopard) is the source of this 1783-nucleotide long non-coding RNA. RefSeq lists it as uncharacterized. The transcript has 3 exons. The record is from RefSeq and is a predicted model, not a curated record. NCBI's taxonomy places the organism in Eukaryota, Metazoa, Chordata, Mammalia, Carnivora, Felidae.
UGCAACGGCCUGCGGCACCUGCGGUGAAUUUCCGCCCGCCGCCUCCAGGGCUUAUGCAGCCACCGGCAGGGGCGUGACAUCCCCCAGGUUGGAGGCACCUGUCCGCGUCACGUCAGAACUGAAUCCGUGCGGGAGGGGACCGUGCAAGGGUGUGAAUACGAACAGACAAGGCUCUUGGAAGAUCUUCUUGGAGGCCGGCUACCCACCGCAAUAAUGAUGUGUCGUCUAUUCAGUACCUAUUAUGUGCUUGGCUUUAGAUGGGAAUGAUCUCACUUCAUCCUCACUACAGCCUUAUACGGUAGAGGUUGCAGGGGAGGCAAGGCUCAGCAUAUGGCUGUUAACACCCAAGACUUUGAAAGACAGCCGAAUCCACUCUUCAUCUUCAGAGGAAAAAGCUGAGACCCAGAGAGGUGUAGGGGCAGCAGUGAUGGAAGUUUUCUGGGUCUGCCUGUUGGGAAUUGGGAAUUGUCUGCUUUAUGAUAGAUUCUCAGACACUUUGAGGUCCCUUAGUGUCAUGCUCCUGAUUCAGAAGGGCAGCCAGUGGCAGUAAAUUGGCAUUUCAUGAAUGGGGGCUGCCCAGCCCUCCAGAAACUUGGGCUGAGUCUUGAAGGGCCCCUGCCCUACUAUAAAGUCACAGAACUAAUAGCUCAAAGCAAAGGGCUUCCCUGGUGGCUCCAUUUACCAAAGACUCCUUCUAAGUGAAAACCUGAAGAGACCCCUGGAAAGGAUUGUUGGAGAUCUGUAUGGGAACGGCUCCAUCUAUAAGGAGGAAGAUGGCCUGAGUUAUCAUCUAACUACAGCUUUGUAUCUUCUCUAAAUUAAUAAGGCAUUUGGAUAAGAGGGGUUCAAAGUGUGAUAUUAUAAAGUGGCAAGGAAGGACAGAAGGACAGGAAUGGUCAUUUUUGUAGCCCUGCCUGUUCGAAUAGCCACUUUAGGAUGGAGACUUUCAUUUGAGAGUCAUCCUGGUGAAGAUUACGUUUAUACUGUGCUAUGCAUUAGUGGCAGGGAACAUAUAUACUGAAAAUGAUUGGCGCCUCCCUCGCCCUCCUCUCCCCCCCGUGAAAACACAGAAGGCCUCAGCAGGUAGGGGGAGGGAACCAUCACCUGAGACAUCUUUCCACCUUUCCUUUCUAUCUGACUCUCAAACAGAACCCGCUCUGACUUCUCUCCCCACCUUUCCUAGAUCCUGGCUCUGGGGUCUUUUUCAGCUGAGGGUGGAAGCAGGGAUGCUUUGGAAAUCUUUUGGCAUGUGUUAUGGUGAGGAAUUUCAACAACUUGAAAGAAGCAGAGCCGAGUGAAAUUCCAACACAGAUGGUUCUGUCAGACUGGAAUCUGGGGGCCUUUCCCCUGGCGGUCUCGGGACAACACUAUGAGGUUGUUCUGGGUCCACUCCAUCUAUGCAAAAGAACUUGCUGCCCUCUCCACUUCCCUAGCACGUUCGUACCACAGACACUGUCCAAAUGCUGUAUCUGUGCCAGACACUGUGCUGAGCACGGGGGAUAAAAAUGAGGCAGGACUGAGUAGGUAUGGCCAGCGAGUCCCGGCUUGUCCCUAGCAGAGUCACGACCUGGAAAGUUCUGCCGAGAAAGGCUGGGAACAUUUAGAAAGACUCCAACAGAAUGCAGGAACAAUGCCUUGAACAGAAUAUGGGUGAAAUAGGUCAGGGAUUAAGGAAGGCACUUGUGAUGAGCACCAGGUGAUGUAUGGAAUUGUCGAAUCACUGUCUGUACACCUGAAGCUAAUAUAACACUGUAUGUUAACUGAAAUUAAAAUAAAAACCUUA